UACGUAGGGUGCAAGCGUUAAUCGGAAUUACUGGGCGUAAAGCGUGCGCAGGCGGUUUUGUAAGUCUGUCGUGAAAGCCCCGGGCUCAACCUGGGAAUGGCGAUGGAGACUGCAAGGCUAGAGUGUGUCAGAGGGGGGUAGAAUUCCACGUGUAGCAGUGAAAUGCGUAGAUAUCGAGAGGAACACCAGUGGCGAAGGCGAGUCCCUGGACACUUCCUGACACUGAGGCACGAAAGCUAGGGGAGCAAACAGG
RNAcentral lists this ribosomal RNA (253 nucleotides) under uncultured bacterium. RNAcentral describes it as "partial 16S ribosomal RNA". It matches the Rfam family "Bacterial small subunit ribosomal RNA", at positions 524 to 776 of the family's 1533-position model. The record is from RNAcentral.